UUAUGGCUGCUUUACUGAGACCUGUCCCCUCUGCAUGAAGCCCUUGCAGAAGAAGCAGAGGCUGAUGUGUACUCAUGCGUUCUGUGCAGCCUGUUUGGAGAGAUCUGUGGAAAGCCUUGGUCUUCAGUGUCCAGUGUGUCUAACAGCACUCACAGUGGUGGGAGACCAGCCAGAGGGACAGAUAACCGUGAAACAUUUCGAAGACUUGCUUGGAAAUGUUUUUUUCUCUAUUACCUACAAUAUUCCCAAUGGAAUACAGACAGAGGCCCAUCCCAACCCAGGGAAGCCCUUUACUGGAAUCAAAACACAGGCCUGGUUACGAAAAAGCCGAGAGAGCCGGGAGGUGCUGAAGCUGCUGCAAAGAGCCUUUAACCAGAAUCUGGUUUUUACUGUGGCUGCAACCGAUGAAGAGGGAGACAGAGUCGUCUACACUGACAUCCCCCAUGCAGCAGACAGGAGUGAGUGCUCGCAUCCUGGCUUCCUGAAUAAAAUGAAGGCGGCACUCAGUGCCAAAUUCAUUGAAUGAUUGGAUGAACAGAGACAUCAGAUCCUCAGCACAGCACCACCAAAUGGACCAGAAGAGAAAAUCACAACAUUACAAAGAUGGGCACACGAUAGACAGACAUUAGAGACCGAGAGGAACCAGCCAGUUGGCCUUUGCACUCUAUGAGGUCAGGAAGCAGAAUCAUAACUGAAGAUAGUAGCAGGUCACUGCUUUAGAAACACAUAUGUGAUAAAUCUACUCAAUCCUGAUGGA
Molecule: long non-coding RNA, 757 nt
Organism: Anguilla anguilla (European eel)
Lineage: Eukaryota; Metazoa; Chordata; Actinopteri; Anguilliformes; Anguillidae
Exons: 3
Source: RefSeq, a predicted model, not a curated record